This 234-nucleotide long non-coding RNA is filed under the name Lathyrus oleraceus (garden pea). RNAcentral describes it as "Pisum sativum (pea) long non-coding RNA (PSAT_LNC033236)". Lineage: Eukaryota; Viridiplantae; Streptophyta; Magnoliopsida; Fabales; Fabaceae. The record is from RNAcentral.
GUUUGAUUGGGUUAAGUCCUAGGAUCGUGUGGUCGUGGUUUAGGGACUUUAGGUCAGCCUCCCUCAUUGGGAGAAAUCCGUUUCCAGCGGUGGGCCUCCAGUCCGGGCCCAGCUUGUGUUUUUUUUUAGCACCCCCAUUUUCGAAUGAGGGGCCUUUUUUUAUUUAUUUAUUUUCUAUUUUGAUUAGGACUAAGGAAGGCCCAUCUCCUUUUCAAGAUUGCUGUUUUUUUUAUA